UUGGUAGCAGCAGGCAGGCAGGCAGGCUGGGAGUUUGCAUGGAAAUCAUGAACUCUUUCUUGUCUUUCCCUUUUGAAACGUUUUGGAAUGAGAGUUAAGAAUAGCUCAGAAACUGGUCUCAUUUUUGGUAUGGGAAGAAUGACCAGAAACAUAAAAGCUAAAUCUUCCAGCAAGUGCCAGACACUUCUUUUGGUGUUUGCAGUAAACCUCGCAGGAUGAAUCGCUGUCUGUAAAGUCCUGUGCCAUGACACCUAAAAUGAGGGAAUGGCAAAGCAAAAUACUAACACAAAGGCUGCUACCGAGAGCUUUUUGUCUACCUUUAACUCAUUGUGAAACGAGAGAAAACAAAGUGAAGUGGCUCUAAGUUUCUGCUUUCUGCUGUAGUCUGAUUUUGGCAAAACAGGUUCCAUAGUGGACGGAAUGAGAAAUUGUCUUCAAAUGAUUCCCAUGAAGAAUUGCAAAGACAAAAAUUAUUCAGCAAUGGUUUCUUCAAUCCAGUGGAUAGUGAAGGUACCUGCCACAUAGCUGUUAAUGUACCUUAUCUCCUGUGACAACUAAUGGGUGAUUUGAUGCCAAGAGGACCAUUGAGAAAAGUCAAUGGUGGAUUUAAAAAUUGAGCACGCGGAACACGAUCAGGAAGGAGUGGAAGAAGUCAUUCAUGUGCCAGCGUGGGAGCGUGCAGUCUUCAUUGAUCUUGCAGACACAUUCUUUGUAGCUCUUACCAAAGAGCUGCAUGCCAACCACGGCAAAAAUGAAGACGAUGAUGGCCAACACCAAGGCAGAGAGUUUGAUGAGAAGCUGGAGGGCCACUAGAGCUGUCCAGGAUGCAUCAUCAUCAAGGAGAUGGUCUUCAAAGCCAUGGGAUUUGUGGAGUUUGUCCAGAGAGAAGGUGUAGUGGGGGAAGAAGAGGAAGGGAAAGGAGGACUGACUGGAAUAGGGGAUGAAGGAAGAAGAGAGAAGAAAGGAGAGCCCUUAACUGAGUUCCAAAUACUGUUAAAGAGGCAAAGCAGUACUAUAAAUGAAUAAAAUUUGUUUUCCUAAAUUCUCUUACUGUUCUUUCACCAAUGUUUAUUUAAGAUCUACUCAUUUCCAGGAAUUGAAGAUAUAACAGUGAAAUAAAUGCACUUUACAGUUUACAU
Sciurus carolinensis (gray squirrel) is the source of this 1139-nucleotide long non-coding RNA. RefSeq lists it as uncharacterized. The transcript has 5 exons. NCBI's taxonomy places the organism in Eukaryota, Metazoa, Chordata, Mammalia, Rodentia, Sciuridae. The record is from RefSeq and is a predicted model, not a curated record.